UACAGAGGUCCCGAGCGUUGUUCGGAUUCACUGGGCGUAAAGGGUGCGCAGGUGGGUUUGCAAGUUCGAUGUGAAAGCCCCCGGGCUCAACCCGGGAAAUGGCAUUGGAUACUGCAGAUCUGGAGGAUCGGAGGGGGGGACUGGAAUUCUUGGUGUAGCAGUGAAAUGCGUAGAUAUCAAGAGGAACGCCAGUGGCGAAGGCGGCUACCUGGACAGAAACUGACGCUGAGGCACGAAAGCUAGGGGAGCAAACAGG
This 256-nucleotide ribosomal RNA is filed under the name uncultured bacterium. RNAcentral describes it as "partial 16S ribosomal RNA". It matches the Rfam family "Bacterial small subunit ribosomal RNA", at positions 524 to 776 of the family's 1533-position model. The record is from RNAcentral.